CAGAGCCACGGUAAUACGGAGGAUCCAAGCGUUAUCCGGAAUCAUUGGGUUUAAAGGGUCCGUAGGCGGUCUUGUAAGUCAGUGGUGAAAGCCAAUCGCUCAACGGUGGAACGGCCAUUGAUACUGCAGGACUUGAAUUAUUGGGAAGUAACUAGAAUAUGUAGUGUAGCGGUGAAAUGCUUAGAGAUUACAUGGAAUACCAAUUGCGAAGGCAGGUUACUACCAAUUGAUUGACGCUGAUGGACGAAAGCGUGGGUAGCGAACAGGAUUAGAGACCCCUGUAGUCCCUGUCUCUUAUACA
RNAcentral lists this ribosomal RNA (301 nucleotides) under uncultured bacterium. RNAcentral's name for it is "partial 16S ribosomal RNA". It matches the Rfam family "Bacterial small subunit ribosomal RNA", at positions 509 to 808 of the family's 1533-position model. The record is from RNAcentral.